AUGAAGAACGUAGUGAAAUGCGAUAAGUAAUGUGAAUUGCAGAAUUCAGUGAAUCAUCGAAUCUUUGAACGCACCUUGCACUCCUUGGUAUUCCGAGGAGUACGCCUGUUCGAGUGUUAUGAAGCUCUCAAAACGCAAUUGGCUUAAAACCUGAUUGUUGUUUUGGAUUUGAACUUUGCCGUGUUAUAACGGCUGGUUUUAAAAGUAUUAGCUGGUACUAGAACGAAUUGGUUCUACUCAACGUGAUAAUUAUCUGAUCGUUGAGGACAUUCCUUUCACGAGGAAUGGCCAUAGUAAAUUCAAUGGACUGCUUCUAAUCUGGCUUUAAUUCUUUAUUGGAUUAACCACUUUUCAAAUCUGACCUCGAAUCAGGUGGGACUACCCGCUGAACUUAAGCAUAUCAAUAAGCGGAGGA
Molecule: unclassified non-coding RNA, 415 nt
Filed under: soil metagenome
Description: partial contains 5.8S ribosomal RNA, internal transcribed spacer 2, and large subunit ribosomal RNA
Rfam family: 5.8S ribosomal RNA (bases 1-119)
Source: RNAcentral